UGUAUCUGAAGCCUGACGAGGAUGAGAACCUCCGGGGGCAAGAGGUUCGACUCGAGCGCAGCGAGAGAACGUUGCGUCAGCAACGGCCCGCAGGGCGAGCCACGCAGUGGCGAGUCAUCCUCUAUCACCAGCA
Molecule: small RNA, 133 nt
Filed under: Salmonella enterica subsp. enterica serovar Infantis
Lineage: Bacteria; Pseudomonadati; Pseudomonadota; Gammaproteobacteria; Enterobacterales; Enterobacteriaceae
Also listed under: 52 other names
Description: RtT sRNA
Rfam family: RtT RNA
About the family: This family represents a bacterial cis-regulatory element known as RtT RNA. The exact function of RtT is unknown although it is thought that it may be involved in changing the cellular response in relation to amino acid starvation.
Source: RNAcentral